This is a long non-coding RNA of Pieris napi, 263 nucleotides long. RefSeq lists it as uncharacterized. The transcript has 2 exons. Lineage: Eukaryota; Metazoa; Arthropoda; Insecta; Lepidoptera; Pieridae. The record is from RefSeq and is a predicted model, not a curated record.
GGACGGACGGUAUACUUGAGCGAGCCGUUAUUCGUUACUCGUUAGUUAUCACGGUCGGUACGGUGUCCGCGUAAAAAAACGCGAAUUUAAAAAUCGAACGUCGACGUACUAACUUUGUGAAUUUGGGUUUUCAGUGCAGUGUUAUUAUUUAAGUUGUGAAUGCGAUGUGUCAAUGGAUUGUGCGUAAGCGCACGGUCAUUCAUAAACUCGUGUUAGGUACAUUACAAAUUCAGGAAGCGCGUUUUUUGUAUGAACACGAAUCG